UACGUAGGCGGAAAAUCAAGUCAGUAGUGAAAUCCUGCAGCUUAACUGUAGAACUGUUAUUGAUACUGGUUUUCUUGAAUAUAGUUGAGGUAGGCGGAAUGUGUAAUGUAGCGGUGAAAUGCUUAGAUAUUACACAGAACACCGAUUGCGAAGGCAGCUUACUAAGCUAUGAUUGACGCUGAGGUACGAAAGCGUGGGGAGCGAACAGGAUUAGAUACCCUGGUAGUC
RNAcentral lists this ribosomal RNA (228 nucleotides) under uncultured bacterium. RNAcentral describes it as "partial 16S ribosomal RNA". It matches the Rfam family "Bacterial small subunit ribosomal RNA", at positions 568 to 795 of the family's 1533-position model. The record is from RNAcentral.